AACGAACGCUGGCGGCAUGCCUAACACAUGCAAGUCGAACGAGACCUCCGGGUCUAGUGGCGCACGGGUGCGUAACGGGGGGGAACCUGCCCUUAGGUUCGGAAUAACUCCCCGAAAGGGGUGCUAAUACCGGAUCAUAUCUUCGAACCAAAGAUUUAUUGACGUAGGAGGGGCGCGCGUUGGAUUAGCUGGUUGGUAGGGUAAACGCGUAUCAGGGGGACGAUACAUAGCUGGGUAGAGAGAAUGGUCAGCCACACUGGGACGGAGACACGGCCCAGACUCUUGCGGGAGGCAGGAGUGGGGAAUAUUGCACAACGGGGUGAAGGAUGAUCGAGCUCUGCCGGGAGAGUGAUGAUGUACGGAGGGUUGUAAAGCUCGUUUACCCGGGAGGAUAAUGACAGUACCGGGAGAAUAAGCGCCGGCUAACUACGUG
This 433-nucleotide ribosomal RNA is filed under the name uncultured bacterium. RNAcentral describes it as "partial 16S ribosomal RNA". It matches the Rfam family "Bacterial small subunit ribosomal RNA", at positions 29 to 507 of the family's 1533-position model. The record is from RNAcentral.